RNAcentral lists this ribosomal RNA (1344 nucleotides) under metagenome. RNAcentral's name for it is "bacterial LSU rRNA". It matches the Rfam family "Bacterial large subunit ribosomal RNA", at positions 1548 to 2925 of the family's 2925-position model. The record is from RNAcentral.
AGCAUACGGAAAGCUGCGGCAAGUACGGAAAAGCUGAGAGCAGGCUUCCAGGAAAAGCUUCUAGCACAACACGCAUCGGCCCGUACCGAAAAUGGACACACAUGGGCAAGGAGAGAAUCCUGAGGUGAGCGAGAGAACUAUAGCUAAGGAACUCUGCAAAAUGACCCCGUAACUUAGGGAGAAGGGGUGCUCCAGAAAUGGAGCCGCAGUAAAACGGCCCAAGCGACUGUUUACCAAAAACACAGCUCUCUGCGAAGGCGCAAGCCGAAGUAUAGGGGGUGACACCUGCCCGGUGCUGGAAGGUCAAGGGGAGCUGUCAGCGCAAGCGAAGCAGCGAGCCGAAGCCCCAGUAAACGGCGGCCGUAACGAUAACGGUCCUAAGGUAGCGAAAUUCCUUGUCGGGCAAGUUCCGACCCGCACGAAAGGCGUAACGAUUUGGGCGCUGUCUCAGCUGUAGACUCGGUGAAGUCUUAGUACCUGUGAAGAUGCAGGUUGCCCGCGACUAGACGGAAAGACCCCAUGGAGCUUCACUGCAGGUUGACAUUGGGCUUGGAUGCAUGAUGUACAGGAUAGGUGGGAGGCUGUGAGCCGUGCGCGCUAGCGUACGGGGAGCCGCUGUUGGGAUACCACCCUUCAUGCAUCUAGGUCCUAACCGGAGGCAACGGGCCACGGGACAGUGUCAGUCGGGCAGUUUGACUGGGGCGGUCGCCUCCCAAAGAGUAACGGAGGCGCCCAAAGAUACCCUCAGCAUGGAUGGAAACCAUGCAUAGAGUGCAAAGGCAUAAGGGUGUCUGACUGCGAGACAUACAGGUCGAGCAGGGACGAAAGUCGGGCUUAGUGAUCCGGCGGAUCCGAAUGGAAGGGCCGUCGCUCAACGGAUAAAAGCUACCCUGGGGAUAACAGGCUGAUCUCCCCCAAGAGUUCACAUCGACGGGGAGGUUUGGCACCUCGAUGUCGGCUCAUCGCAUCCUGGAGCUGAAGUCGGUUCCAAGGGUUGGGCUGUUCGCCCAUUAAAGCGGUACGCGAGCUGGGUUCAGAACGUCGUGAGACAGUUCGGUCCCUAUCUGUCGUGGGCGCAGGAGGUUUGAGGAGAGCUGCCCCUAGUACGAGAGGACCGGGGUGGACGGACCGAUGGUGCACCAGUUGUCACGCCAGUGGCACAGCUGGGCUGCCAAGUCCGGACGGGAUAAGCGCUGAAGGCAUCUAAGCGUGAAGCCCCCUCCAGGAUGAGACCUCCCAUUGGCGACAAGUAAGGCCCCUCGAAGACGACGAGGUUGAUAGGCCGCGAGUGCAAGCGCAGCGAUGUGCUUAGCGGGGCGGUACUAAUAGGCCGAGGACUUGGCC